This 657-nucleotide ribosomal RNA is filed under the name uncultured bacterium. RNAcentral's name for it is "bacterial SSU rRNA". It matches the Rfam family "Bacterial small subunit ribosomal RNA", at positions 66 to 733 of the family's 1533-position model. The record is from RNAcentral.
GCGGUAAGGCCCUUUCGGGGGUACACGAGCGGCGAACGGGUGAGUAACACGUGGGCGACCUGCCCUCAGCUCUGGGAUAAGCCUGGGAAACUGGGUCUAAUACCGGAUAGGACCACAUGUCGCAUGGUGUGUGGUGGAAAGUUUUUUCGGCUGAGGAUGGGCCCGCGGCCUAUCAGCUUGUUGGUGGGGUGAUGGCCUACCAAGGCAACGACGGGUAGCCGGCCUGAGAGGGCGACCGGCCACACUGGGACUGAGACACGGCCCAGACUCCUACGGGAGGCAGCAGUGGGGAAUAUUGCGCAAUGGGCGAAAGCCUGACGCAGCGACGCCGCGUGGGGGAUGACGGCCUUCGGGUUGUAAACCUCUUUCGACCUUGACGAAGGCCUUCGGGUUGACGGUAGGGGUAGAAGAAGCACCGGCCAACUACGUGCCAGCAGCCGCGGUAAUGCGUAGGGUGCGAGCGUUGUCCGGAAUUAUUGGGCGUAAAGAGCUCGUAGGCGGUGUGUCACGUCGAUCGUGAAAACUUGGGGCUUAACCCUGAGCUUGCGGUCGAUACGGGCAUCACUGGAGUUCGGCAGGGGAGACUGGAAUUCCUGGUGUAGCGGUGAAAUGCGCAGAUAUCAGGAGGAACACCGGUGGCGAAGGCGGGUCUCUGGG